GUGGGGAAUAUUGGGCAAUGGGCGAAAGCCUGACCCAGCAACGCCGCGUGAAGGAAGAAGGUCUUCGGAUCGUAAACUUCUAUCCUUGGUGAAGAUAAUGACGGUAGCCGAGAAGGAAGCCCCGGCUAACUACGUGCCAGCAGCCGCGGUAAUACGUAGGGGGCAAGCGUUGUCCGGAAUGAUUGGGCGUAAAGGGUGCGUAGGCGGCCUGGUAAGUCUGGAGUGAAAGUCCUGCUUUUAAGGUGGGAAUUGCUUUGGAUACUGUCGGGCUUGAGUGCAGGAGAGGUAAGUGGAAUUCCCGGUGUAGCGGUGAAAUGCGUAGAGAUCGGGAGGAACACCAGUGGCGAAGGCGACUUACUGGACUGUAACUGACGCUGAGGCGCGAAAGUGUGGGGAGCAAACAGGAUUAGAAACCCUUGUAGUCC
RNAcentral lists this ribosomal RNA (425 nucleotides) under uncultured bacterium. RNAcentral's name for it is "partial 16S ribosomal RNA". It matches the Rfam family "Bacterial small subunit ribosomal RNA", at positions 354 to 796 of the family's 1533-position model. The record is from RNAcentral.